AAUGAAAGGCACUAAUUGGACAUUGCACUUCAAGAACUGUGCAGUCUCCCGAAGGGUGGGGUGCAUGAGUUGAAAACAUUUUAAGAAAUAUACACAAGGAAGUGCAAUUCAGUGUAGAAGAGAAAGAACACAGAUGCACGACACUGCAGGGGCAGAGGAAAGAGAAAGAAUACAGAUGCACGACACUGCAGGGGCAGAGGAAAGAGAAAGAACACACAUGCACGACACUGCAGGGGCAGAGGAAAGAGAAAGAACACAGAUGCACGACACUGCAGGGGCAGAGGAAAGAGAAAGAACACACAUGCACGACACUGCAGGGGCAGAGGAAAGAGAAAGAACACACAUGCACGACACUGCAGGGUCAGAGGAAAGAGAAAGAACACACAUGCACGACACUGCAGGGGCAGAGGAAAGAGAAAGAACACACAUGCACGACACUGCAGGGGCAGAGGGAAGAGAAAGAACACACAUGCACGACACUGCAGGGGCAGAGGAAAGAGAAAGAACACAGAUGCACGACACUGCAGGGGCAGAGGAAAGAGAAAGAACACACAUGCACGACACUGCAGGGGCAGAGGGAAGAGAAAGAACACACAUGCACGACACUGCAGGGGCAGAGGAAAGAGAAAGAACACACAUGCACGACACUGCAGGGGCAGAGGAAAGAGAAAGAACACACAUGCACGACACUGCAGGGGCAGAGGAAAGAGAAAGAACACACAUGCACGACACUGCAGGGGCAGAGGAAAGAGAAAGAACACAGAUGCACGACACUGCAGGGGCAGAGGAAAGAGAAAGAACACACAUGCACGACACUGCAGGGGCAGAGGGAAGAGAAAGAACACACACGCACGACACUGCAGGGGCAGAGGGAUGGCAUUUUCAGGAUGGGAGCAAGGAACAUUUCAUGGAGUACGCAUUGGAUUUGAGCUUGCCCUUGAGGAUCUGCACUACAGAAAGAAGCUCUAGAGCCCGGAUGAUGUCCAGACAAGGCUGGUUUCCGGUGAGAACGCCCUUUGGGUCCUUUCUCACGAUAUGUCACAUGACCUUUCCUCAGUACAGAGAGCAGAGAGGAGGCCAUCCCGCAGGCAUCUUUUCUUCUAAGGAUACUGCUCCUAUCAGGUUAGGACCCCACUCUGAUGACCUCAUUUGACCUUAACUACUUCCUCAGUGGCCCCACCUCCAAAUGCAGCCACACUGGGGGUUAGGACUUCAACAUGUCAAUUCUGGGGGAUAUAACAUGCAGUUCCUAACAGGGCCUGAGGUCUAAGGCUGAAAACAGGGAGACCACUCAGAGGGGGCUGUGAUGGUCUGAGAAGAAUGAAUGGGAUUGGGUGGG
RNAcentral lists this long non-coding RNA (1339 nucleotides) under Callithrix jacchus (white-tufted-ear marmoset). Its description in RNAcentral is "lncRNA (ENSCJAG00000070836.1)". Lineage: Eukaryota; Metazoa; Chordata; Mammalia; Primates; Cebidae. The record is from RNAcentral.